CCUACGGGGGGCAGCAGUGGGGGAUAUUGCACAAUGGGGGGAACCCUGAUGCAGCGACGCCGCGUGUGGGAAGACGGUCCUCUGGAUUGUAAACCACUGUCCCCAGGGACGCAAAUGACGGUACCUGGGGAGGAAGCUCCGGCGAACUACGUGCCAGCCGCCGCGGUCAUACGUAGGGAGCGAGCGUUGUCCGGAAUUACUGGGUGUAAAGGGAGCGUAGGCUGGGAUGCAAGUUGGGUGUCAAAACUACCGGCUAAACUGGUAGUCGCACUCAAAACUGCAGCUCUUGAGUGAAGUAGAGGCAGGCGGAAUUCCUGGUGUAGCGGGGAAAUGCGUAGAUAUUAGGAGGAACACCAGGGGCGAAGGCGGCCUGCUGGGCUUUUACUGACGCUGAGGCUCGAAAGUGUGGGGAGCAAACAGGAUUAGAUACCCGUGUAGUC
RNAcentral lists this ribosomal RNA (440 nucleotides) under uncultured bacterium. Its description in RNAcentral is "partial 16S ribosomal RNA". It matches the Rfam family "Bacterial small subunit ribosomal RNA", at positions 338 to 795 of the family's 1533-position model. The record is from RNAcentral.